GUCGAACGCUGGCGGCGUGCCUAAUACAUGCAAGUCGGACGCAGUUGCGAACGGGUGAGUAACGCGUAGGUAACUGCCUAUUAGAGGGGGACAACUAUUGGAAACGAUAACUAAUACCGCAUAAUAGUAGAUGGAUCUGAGUUGUAUUAUCUAGUAGGUAGGGUAAUGGCCUACCAAGGCAACGGUACAUAGCCGACCUGGAUAGGAUAUCGGUCCAACUGGGAACGAGAAAAGGCCCAGACUCCUACGGGAGGCAGCAGUAGGGAAUCUUCGGCAAUGGGGGGAACCCUGACUGAGGAAAUGCGCGGGAGGGAAGGAGGUUUUCGGAUCGUAAAGCUCUGUUGUUGAGGAAGCGGUACUUAACCAGUAAGUGACGGCUAACUACGUGCCAGCAGCCGCGGUAAUUC
RNAcentral lists this ribosomal RNA (407 nucleotides) under uncultured bacterium. RNAcentral's name for it is "partial 16S ribosomal RNA". It matches the Rfam family "Bacterial small subunit ribosomal RNA", at positions 28 to 526 of the family's 1533-position model. The record is from RNAcentral.